GAAGCCGUCGCGAUUGGUCUGUCGUUUAUGUGUGUUGUGUACUUAUUGUUUUUUCUAAUUUUAUGUUUCAAUUAAAUCGGUUUCGUCGCAAUAAUAAUCGUUCGUAAAUACCUACUCAAGAGUCAAAACUUUACACCAGUAUUUUUUACACAUGGUGGCGUCGAAACUUCGGAAGUAAAAUACCAGGCGUAAGUAAAUACAUUUACUUUCAGUAGUCAUA
Cinara cedri is the source of this 220-nucleotide non-coding RNA. Lineage: Eukaryota; Metazoa; Arthropoda; Insecta; Hemiptera; Aphididae. The record is from the annotation of a GenBank genome assembly.